GCUUGGUAUAGGGACUGGUCCUAGUUUUAUUUUGUGUUGUCUAUUGAGUUAUAUAUUUAAUUUUUGCUUACAAUGGCCUGCUUUUGUAACUGAUUUCCAUGUUGUAGGAUUGAAUUUUUUAUUUUUUAUUUUUUGGUUGCAGGAUUUUGGUUUGGGUACACUUGUGACUAUCUUGUGGAUUUUCUUAUUGCAGAGGCUGCAUCAUAUAGUAUUGCUGUUUUCAUGGACAUGUCAUUUUGGGAGACCCUUGAUUAGUUUUCCUCAGGUUUUGAUUUUGGCAAGGACAAAUCAUUGGAGUUCCUGAAGCUCUGGAUCUAUUGAAGGUUGAUAGAACAUAUCUAAUGAGAAAAUUAGUAUAGUAGUUACAUAUCUAAUGACUGCUGGAUAUAUGUUGGUUGAUCUUUUACCGGUUUUCCUUCAUUCAUUUUCUCUUACUUGACCUGUAGAACUCAAUCCAUUUGCAAAUAUGGAAUAAGCAUUUUGUUUUUUU
This is a long non-coding RNA of Rosa rugosa (rugosa rose), 490 nucleotides long. RefSeq lists it as uncharacterized. The record is from RefSeq and is a predicted model, not a curated record. The transcript has 3 exons. Lineage: Eukaryota; Viridiplantae; Streptophyta; Magnoliopsida; Rosales; Rosaceae.